GGUUGUUUUUCUCUUGUAAUGCCUCAACAAAUCAUGUCAUAUUAGAACAUUAUGUACUAAGGGACCUCCCCUUUACAAAAGCAGCUUGUUGGUCUGAGACUAUACUUGGCAAAACUACCUUAAGCCUUUCACACAACACCUUUGAGACACACUUAUAUAAUACAUUGCAACAUGAUAUUGGCCUAAAUUGACCUGCUAUUUGUGGUACAUUCACUUUAGGUAUAAGUGCAAUCAUAGUAGCAUUCAUCUGCUUUAAUAUUUUGCCAUUCCUCAAGGACUGUAGCACCGCAUCAGUCACAUCUUUACCUACAAUACUCCAUGCUGCCUUGUAGAACCCACUACCAAAGCCAUCUGGUCCCGGACUCUUAUUGCUAUCAAUGCUAAACAUGACUUUUUUAACCUCUUUCUUUGUGUACCCCUUUACCAGAUCCAACUGCUGCUCUAAAAUUACAACAGGUUCUAAUUUGCACCUCAAAUGACCCCUAAGUGUCUAGUUGACAAAGACAUGGUUACAGGGGUUCAAAUUACAGCUUGAGUCAAGUACAAGGUCUUCGAGGUCAUUUAAUUAUUUUUACUUUUCAUGUAUUUUGUUUCUUUUAAAAAACAGGCAAAUGAUUGAGGUUUCAAUUACUUCAAAUAGAAAGGAGAUGUGCAACUUUUCAACGAAUAAAUAAAGAAUUUAACAGUAAAACAAUUAAGGAUAAAUGUGAUAUUGUAACACCGUAUUCAUUUGAACUUAGUUAUUUUAACUAAUAAUAUAAAGGACAUUUAUCAAUAGACUUUUAUUACUAAAAGAAAAAUUAUUUUAAAUAUUUAUUAUAAUAAUUUUUAAUUAAUUUUUUAUUUAUUUAAUUAAAGGGAUUUUAGUGUCAGCCAUACAAAGGAAAAAGCUUUUAAACUGACGAAUCACUUUUCUUUUUCUACUAAAAGGCACAGGGAAUCACCUUUGGAAUCAAUGUUGCACCAGACACUUCUAAUGCCCCUAUGUACAAUGGAUCACUAGAGUCUAGGUGCCAUCUAAUUCUUCAAAAAACAACUGAAUCUACACUGAUCUAGACAGUUCAUCUUCUUUUGUCUCUGGGAAAUGAUAAGUGUAUUAUAAAACGAUACCAAAAUCUCCACUCUCUUGUAUUCCAUAUAUUAACCAUAUUCAGUAUUUUUUUUUUCUGUAGUAAGUGGAUGAUCUUAAGUCCAUGACACUUGAAUCUGUACUUCUGCUGCAACACAGAAGUCCUUCCUGAUCAGCUGGCACUGCUAAGGCAAAAGCCAAAAGGAAAAAGACAUUCACCAAGAUGUCAUCAGAUACGGUUAUCACUCUGAUUUGCUCCUUCGAAAUGCACUAACUGACAUGUACGGCAAGUGUAAGUACGCGCAAGGUGCAAGAGAAGUUUUUGAUAAUUUAAGUGCUAAAGAUGUAAUCUCUUGCACGUAUGUUAACUGUAAACUUCCAAGAGAAGCGCUAACAACUUUCCAUGAAAUGGGAUAGUUUUCUUGUUUUUCGUCAUCUUGAUUAGGUUAUGGAAGAAAGAUUCAAUCUUUAUUGAUUUUGCUUGUGUGAAAGUAACCUUUCGUGGAAGAAAGAUCCAAUCUUUAUCGAUUUUAUCAGAUGAAGCUGGAAAUGACCAGUUGAUGUUGAUCAACACUGAGAUCACAAAGAUGUGCUGCUCUAUUGAUAUGCAAUUUGAGAAUGAUCCAAGUUUAUCUGUUGUAAUGGGGGAUUUUCCUUUUCUGAAUUUUUCUCUCAAGACUGCUGGGGUUGAUUUUCAUCCGAAGACAAAUCUUUUAGCAUCUGAGCCUGUAAAAAGCAAGAAGCACAAAUACCCAGUUUGCUUCAAAGUUUUCCCAUUAGGCCAAUCUUUGGGAGGCCACAAGAGGGCUCAUUACACUGGAUUCACUGAGAGCAAAACUAAAGAGCCUAUGGUGAAAAAAUUGGAUGACCUUGCUGAUAAUCAUAAGGCUUUUGAUCUGAAUACUCCUGUAAAUGCUGUGGAUGAAGGGGAAUGAUGUUGAGCUCAAGCUUUGGUGGGUUAGAAGUAGCGACGCUGUUGAUGUCAAAUUGAGAGAGUACUUCAUUCUCAGUUUCUGCUCUAGAGGUUGAAGAACUAGACGAUUCAUGAUUCAUUUUCAUUCUUGAAUUUCAUAAUUGUAAAGAUAAUUUUGAGUCCUGGAAUAGUUAAACAGUUGAAUAAUGACACAGGAAAGAUUAGAGUUCCCAGUUACUGACUGAACCAUAAUAGGAAUAAGGCAUACAAAUUACUACAACAUUACUGUUUACUUUCUGUUCAUUGCAUUCUUGCAUUGUAGUACAUAUUUUCCCAGGCCA
Long non-coding RNA from Capsicum annuum, 2323 nucleotides. RefSeq lists it as uncharacterized. The record is from RefSeq and is a predicted model, not a curated record. The transcript is spliced from 2 exons. NCBI's taxonomy places the organism in Eukaryota, Viridiplantae, Streptophyta, Magnoliopsida, Solanales, Solanaceae.